UACGUAGGGGGCAAGCGUUGUCCGGAUUUAUUGGGCGUAAAGAGCGUGUAGGCGGCCAGGGAGGUCCGUUGUGAAAACUCGAGGCUCAACCUCGAGACGCCGAUGGAAACCCCCUGGCUAGAGUCCGGAAGAGGAGAAUGGAAUUCCUGGUGUAGCGGUGAAAUGCGCAGAUAUCAGGAGGAACACCGGUGGCGAAGGCGGGUCUCUGGGCAACAACUGACGCUGAGGAGCGAAAGCGUGGGGAGCGAACAGG
This 253-nucleotide ribosomal RNA is filed under the name uncultured bacterium. RNAcentral describes it as "partial 16S ribosomal RNA". It matches the Rfam family "Bacterial small subunit ribosomal RNA", at positions 524 to 776 of the family's 1533-position model. The record is from RNAcentral.